Molecule: long non-coding RNA, 865 nt
Filed under: Pongo abelii (Sumatran orangutan)
Lineage: Eukaryota; Metazoa; Chordata; Mammalia; Primates; Hominidae
Description: lincRNA
Source: RNAcentral
CCUCUGGCAGCCCUCCAAGUGUGAGCAGACCGAGGCUGUUUGGGGAGCCUGGAGCCCUUUAGCUCUGCCCUCAGUCUGCCUCUGAGCCAAAACCUGCAGCAGGCCUUGUCACCAGCAACACUGGGACCCCAAAGUUGAGAUGAUACAGGAAAACAACGGUUCCCCCCAGGAUGUCUGAAGGUGAGAUCGCGGCCUCCGCGAUAGUCCCUCCGCGGCUCCCCGGCAUUGUUUCCGUGGCCCAGCUUAAGCCUGUCCUCAGCGAUUUGCCGCCCCACUGCACCCGAGCUCAAUGCCAGCCCCUCACACAAAGGCGACAUUCACUUCAUCUACAGGAUUCCCGUAACGCCAGCAGUCUGCCCCACAAAGGCUGGCGCUGCAGUUUUCCACUCCAGGGCCCCGCGGGGCUCGCACACAAAUCCGCCUGUGUAGGGCGGAUGGGGCAUUGUUGUGGCUCAGCAGGGAAUGUGCCUGAGCUAAGCCCUCGCCCUGCUUCUCCUCGAGGUCAGCAGGUUAGACAGGAUGGUCCCCCGCAGACCCCCGAGCUGCCCUCAGAGUGGAACGUGGGGCCGGUCAUGUCCCGCCAGCCCCUUCCAGAACAAAGCCGGCAGACACAGUGUGCCAUAGACCCCAGAGGCCCUCCGAGGCUGGAGUUAAGUUGGGGAGAGCAUCCUCUUUCGGGGGUUUAGAGAUAAUUGUGUCCCACAGCACACACUGGGCACUCACCACUGCUAGGAUGUGCAGGUCAUGGGUGAUGGGGACAGAGCCAGUGAGGUCCCGCCCUCCCCCUGCGGGCCAGCACCUGGUGCGCCCAUCACGGGGUAUCACUUUUCCGGUGGUGGCAAAUGCUACUUCAUUGAGUUUAUUU